AGUGAACGCUGGCGGCGUGCCUAAUACAUGCAAGUCGAACGAAGUGGCGCACGGGUGAGUAAUAUAUAGUUAAUAUGCCCUCCACAGAGGAACAACAGUUGGAAACGAGUGCUACUACCUCAUAGUGUAGGAUGAGACUAUAUCGUAGCAGCUAGUUGGUAAGGUAAUGGCGUAGCAGGGAUAUGACGAGUAACUGGUGUGAGAGGCUGAUCAGUCAGAUUCGAGCUGAGCCACGGUUCAAUCUCCUACGGGAGGAAGCAGUAAGGAAUAUUGCGCAAGGGGGGGAAGCCUGACGCAGCAACGGCGCGUGGAGGAUGACCCUUUUCGUAGCGUAAACUCCUUUUGUCAGGAAAGCGGUACCUGAUGAAUAGGCACCGGCUAACUCCGUGCCAGCAGCCGCGGUAAUAC
Molecule: ribosomal RNA, 408 nt
Filed under: uncultured bacterium
Lineage: Bacteria
Description: partial 16S ribosomal RNA
Rfam family: Bacterial small subunit ribosomal RNA
Source: RNAcentral